UCCCUGAACACACUGGUACCCUAUCGCUGC
This 30-nucleotide non-coding RNA is filed under the name Homo sapiens (human). The record is from RNAcentral. Lineage: Eukaryota; Metazoa; Chordata; Mammalia; Primates; Hominidae.